RNAcentral lists this ribosomal RNA (254 nucleotides) under uncultured bacterium. RNAcentral describes it as "partial 16S ribosomal RNA". It matches the Rfam family "Bacterial small subunit ribosomal RNA", at positions 524 to 776 of the family's 1533-position model. The record is from RNAcentral.
UACGUAGGGGGCGAGCGUUGUCCGGCAUCAUUGGGCGUAAAGAGAUCGUAGGCGGCUCAGUAAGUCGGCUGUGAAAGCCCGGGGCUCAACCCCGGAACUGCAGUCGAUACCGCUGUGGCUAGCGUCCGGUAGAGGAGAGUGGAAUUCCCGGUGUAGCGGUGGAAUGCGCAGAUAUCGGGGGGAACACCAGUAGCGAAGGGGGCGCUCUGGGCCGGUACCGACGCGGGGGAGCGAAAGGGUGGGGAGCAUACAGG